GCUGAACCUCAGCCUGUCUCCCUAGUCUCUGCCUCCUUCUUCCAUGUCCAGACCCUCAGCCUGUCCCCCUCCAGCCUCUGCUUCCUUCUUCUGAGGCUGAACCUCAGCCUGUCUUCCCCCAGCCUCUGCCUCCCUCUCUGACUGCCUCCGCCUGCCCAGCCUCCUGGGUGAGCCCCCACUGUGGUGCUUUCUGGCCCCCAUUCAUUCUUCUUACCUCAUUUCUGCUCCCUAGCUUUCCCUCCA
This 243-nucleotide long non-coding RNA is filed under the name Homo sapiens (human). RNAcentral's name for it is "HSALNT0083926". The record is from RNAcentral. Lineage: Eukaryota; Metazoa; Chordata; Mammalia; Primates; Hominidae.